AGAAAUUGACUUACUUGAUGGUUCUAAUAUUACGGGAAAAUAGAUUUUAUGGUCAAAUUAAACAUUUCAAACAUAAAUCUGUUUUCCCAACUUUGGAUGUAUUGGACAUUGCUUCAAACCAGUUUUCUAGUGAACUAUCCAUUGAUUUCCUUCAAGCCACUCGACUAAGGUCACUCAAAAUAGGUGGGAAUAAAUUGGAAGGGAAGCUGUCAAGAUCAUUAUUCAAUUGCACAGCACUUGAGGUUCUGGACCUUGGAAAUAAUAUGGUUCAUGAUACAUUUCCAUUUUGGUUAGAGAAGCUACUUUCCUUGAAGGUUCUCGUUUUGCGAGCAAACAGAUUCUACGGUACAAUUUCAAAAAUCGACACGAAACGUGGGUUUCUAAAGCUACGCAUAUUGGACAUUGGUUCCAAUCAUUUUUCAGGUGACUUGUCCAUUGAGUUUUUGCAAAGUUUGUGUUGGAGUUUGAGUGUACUUUAACCGGGUAAAGUAUGAGUUGCAAACAGAAUACCAGCAGCAACGUAUUAUACCCGGGUAAAAAAUGAAGGAAAAAUGCUUGAAGUUCAAGCUUUAAGAGCAGAAAUUGGAAGGAAAACAAGAACAGAACUAAAGCAAAGAAAGAAGGAGUAUAUGAUUAAAUGAAAUCUGAUAAUUUUCAUUCAUAAGAAACGUUGGCUUAAAGCCAUUACAUAUACCAGUCAUUGGCUGGUCAAAAAAUCAACAAAUUCAUCACCUAAACACUACCUAACUCCACUAGUUACAUAGGGACUAGGUGAUUUUGCUUGCAAACAUAAACAAAGCUGGUGAUCAGCUCUAUCACCAUCAAAUUACAUCAAACAUAAACUAAACUAAGUUCAAAAUGAACUAGAUUACAAAAGCAUAGUUAAACGGUAACAAAAUGUAACUGAGACAGAAAAGAAGCAUCAACCCCUUCAGUUGCAUGUAUUUUACCUGGGUAACUUGUGUGUAUGAAUUCUUGCACAUACUUUACCCGGAUAACAUAAGUGCAUUAAUUUUCACGUGCGCUUGAAUCUGCAUGGGCUGCAUGGGAACUAACUUCAACACUCCUCCUUAGUUUCUAUGCUGCAAACUCCAAGCUACUUUCUCAGUUUUACGAACCUUGACACACAAAGGGCCUUUGUGAAGAUAUCAGCAACUUGUUCCUCUGAAUUGCAAUGAAUCAGCUCCACCUCUCGAGCUUGUUCCAUCUCCCUUAUCACAUGUAACUUGAUGCUGAAGUGCUUCGUUCUGCCAUGGAAGACAGGAUUCUUUGCAAUUGCAACAGCAGACUUGUUGUCACAAAAGAUCUCUGUUGCCUCUCUUUGAUGUAGGUUAAGAUCAGCUAGAAUUUUUUUCAGCCAUAUGGCUUGAUUUACAGUAUUUGCAGCUGCAACAUAUUCAGCUUCUGCUGUUGAUUGAGCCACAAUCGAUUGUUUCUUUGAGCUCCAACAAAACAUGGUUGAGCCAAGGGUAAAAGCAUAUCCAGAGGUGCUUUUCAUAUCAUCACUUGAACCAGCCCAGUCACUAUCGGUAUAGCCUUUCAACUUCAAGGUUUCAGCUUUGUUGAAUAACACACCAUAGUCAAGAGUGCCUUUGAUGUACCUUAGCACUCUCUUUGCUGCUUGAAAGUGUUGGACAUUACAGCAAUGCAUAAACCUUGAUAACAUACUCACAGUAAACAAGAUAUCUGGCCUAGUUGCUGUCAAAUAUAACAAGUAGCCAACUAGGCUCCUGUAAGUAGACUCAUUGACUGGUUCAUGAUCUCCUUGGCUUGACAGCUUCAUUCCAACAGCAAUAGGAGUGCUUGUUAGCUUACAAUUCUCUAUCGAGAACUUGGACAAAACCUUCAAGGCAAAUGUUCUCUGUCCCAAGAAGAUUUUUCCUUCUAUUUGGCGCACCUCCAUUCCCAAAAAGUAUUUCAUUAGCCCCAAGUCAGACAUUUCAAACAUGUCCAUCAUUUUGGCUUUGAAUUCAGCCAACAUAUCUUGAUCUCCUCCAGUCACUAAAAGGUCAUAGACAUAGAGGGAUACAAUAAGCUGUAUUUCAGCUUCAUUCUUCUUGACAUAUAGUGUUGGCUCAUUAACACUUCUGUUAAAUCCCAAACUGACGAAGUAGCUAUCAAUUCGAGCAUACCAGGCUCUGGGAGCCUGUUUUAGGCCAUAUAAUGCCUUCUUAAGCCUGUACACCAUUUGUUCUUUGCCAGACACAACAAAUCCUUGUGGCUGAUCAAUGUAAAUCUUUUCUUCAAGGAAGCCAUUAAGAAAUACAGACUUCACAUCAAGCUGGUAGAUUUUCCACUGCUUCUGAGCUGCCAAGGCAAUCAGCAAUCUAAUGGUGUCUAGCCUGGCCACUGGUGCAAAUGUUUCCAGGUAGUCCAGACCAUAUUUCUGGCUGAAUCCUUUGACUACAAGCCUGGCCUUCAGUUUGUUCAAGCUCCCAUCAGCAUUUUGCUUGGCUCGAUAGACCUACUUUACUCCAAUAACCUUCCUAUUGGCUGGUCUAGGAACCAAUUCCCAUGUCUGGUUCUUCUCAAUCAUGGAAAUUUCAUCAACCAUUGCCUGUUUCCAGCCUUCAUCAGCUUCAGCUUCUUCAAAACUGCAUGGCUCCACUAUGGCAACUUGAGCCCUUUCAUAAAUUUCAGCCAAAGGUCUAGUGCCUCUGACUGGCAUGUCAUCAAUGUCCAUAUCAGGACUAUUUUCAUUUGACUCUAUUUGAUCAACCACAAGUUCUUCAGAGACAACUUCAGGUUCAUUCUUGUCCCAAUUCCAACAAGCCUUCUCAUCAAACACUACAUCUCUACUCACUUGGAUUUUGUUGGUUAAAGGAUCCAGGAUCCUAUAACCAUUUUUUUCCAUACUAUACCCGGUUAAAAUACCAGGAACAGCCCUUUUUGACAACUUGUCCCUCUUAACAGCUGGUACUUGGCUGUAACAUAGGCAACCAAAGACUUUCAUAUGAGCCAAUGAUGGCUUGAACCCGAACCAGGCUUCAAAAGGUGUUUUGUGAGCGAGUGCUUUGGUUGGAAGCCUAUUCUGAAUGUAGACAGCAGUAUUGACAGCUUCAGCCCACAUUGUCUUGGGUAGAUUUUUCUCAAACAAUAAGCAUCUGGCCAUAUCUAUCAAACUCCUGUUUUUCCUUUCACUAACCCCAUUUUGCUGGGGUGUGUAGACAUUGGUUAGCUGGUGUUUGAUGCCAGCAUCUUUGCACAAAGAUUGGAACUGAGCUGAAGUGUAUUCAGUUCCAUUAUCUGACCUAAUGGUCUUUAUCUUGCAGCCUGUUUCUGUUUCCACUGCAGCUUUGAACUUUAUAAACACUUCAGUAACCUCAGACUUAUGCUUCAAAAAAUAAACCCAGCAGUAUCUGGUAUAGUCAUCAAUAAGGAGAAUAAAGUACUUGUUACCACUUAGUGAUUCUGUCCUCAUGGGGCCACAAACAUCACUGUGCACCAGUUUCAACUUGCUUGAAGCUCUCCAGGUUGUGUUUGUAGGAAAUAGAAGCCUGGCUUGCUUUCCCAUCUGACAGACUUCACAAACAUUUUCACUCUGAACUGUCUUGGUGAAGUUUUCAACCAUUUCCUUACUGACCAUUUGAGCCAUAGAUUUGAAGUUGGCAUGACCAAGUCUUUGAUGCCAAAGCUUGGUGUCUUCAGUUGAAGCAACAUGAGCUGAGUGUGAGUCACCUGACCAGUUGACUUCAAAGCAUUUGUCACUCAUGGUGACUGUCAUGAGGCUUGAUCCAUUUGGAUCGGUGAUUUAGCACUCCUGGCCCUUGAACACAACUGAGUACCCCUUUCCUAGCAGUUGAGAAAUGCUAAGUAGGUUCCUGUCAAUCUCAGGUACCAACAACACAUUUUUGAUGAUUUUGUCACCUGUGGCAGUGCAUAUUUGCACAUCUCCCUUGCCUUCAGCAUUGAUGAACUGACCAUUUCCAAUUUUCACCUUGGUUUUGCAACUUUUGUCCAAGGUUUUGAAAAUUGAUGCAUCUGGUGACAUGUGGUUGGUGCAGCCACUGUCCAGCAACCAGCCUUUUGUACCUCUCAUCUGACCAGCUGAGCAUGAAACAGCAAAGACUUGUUCUUCAUGGUCACUACUUUCUUCAGCCACCCGAGCUUCUUCAUUCUUGUGUUGAGGUUGGUUUUGGCCAAGUCUGCCUUUUUCUUUGCAGACUCUUUCAACAUGGCCUUUCUUCUUGCAGUGUUGACACAUAGCAUCUGGCCUGAACCAGCAUCUGGCCUCUGGAUGAUCAGGUCUUUUACAAAAUCUGCAGAGUCGAUCUCCUCCUCUUGCAGCAUCAGGCUUAGGCUUGUUUUUCCAGUUCUUCUUGCCCUUAUAGACAGUGGUGCUUGAGGUUGCUUUGGCUUUGGCUUGAAAAGCUCCCUCCUGGUGCUCCUCCAUUCUACUGGCUCUCCUUUGUUCCUGAGCAUAGAGGGCAUUAAUGAGCUCAGUUAGGGAGAUUGUUGCCAGGUCUCUCGAAUCCUCCAAGGAUGAGAUUUUUGCCUCAUAUCUUUCAGGUAAUGUUGAGAGCACCUUCUCCACGAUCCUUGCCUCACUGAACUGUUCUCCUAGCAAUCUUAUGCUGUUGGCCACAACCAUUAUCCUGUCUGAGUACUGCUUCACUGUCUCUUCUUCCAUCAUCUUGAGAUUUUCAAAAUCUCUUCUCAAGUUUAAUAGCUGCUGCUGCCUAGUUCUUUCAGUGCCUUGGAACUCCUCCUUGAGCUUGUCCCAGGCCUGCUUGGGAGUCUCACAAGCUAUGAUUCUGGUGAAAAUAACAUCAGAAACACAGUUCUGAAUGCAUGACAUGGCCUUGUGCCUUUUAGUCCUCUCAUCUGCAUGCUGGCGAAUCUGAGCCACAGUGGGGUUGGCCCUCAGUGGAGCUGGCUCGAUGUCUGUGUUAACAACUUCCCACAGAUCAAAAGCCUGUAGGUAAGUCCUCAUCUUGACAACCCAUAUGUGGAACCCCUCACCAUUAAAAACUGGUGGUGCUGCAGGAGAAAAACCUGAUGAAGCCAUUUAAUUUUCAACAACAUGUCCUCUAAGAUGAAAGCUAUUGAUACCAAUUGUUGGAGUUUGAGUGUACUUUAACCGGGUAAAGUAUGAGUUGCAAAUAGAAUACCAGCAGCAACGUAUUAUACCCGGGUAAAAAAUGAAGGAAAAAUGCUUGAAGUUCAAGCUUUAAGAGCAGAAAUUGGAAGGAAAACAAGAACAGAACUAGAGCAAAGAAAGAAGGAGUAUAUGAUUAAAUGAAAUCUGAUAAUUUUCAUUCAUAAGAAACGUUGGCUUAAAGCCAUUACAUAUACCAGUCAUUGGCUGGUCAAAAAAUCAACAAAUUCAUCACCUAAACACUACCUAACUCCACUAGUUACAUAGGGACUAGUUGAUUUUGCUUGCAAACAUAAACAAAGCUGGUGAUCAGCUCCAUCACCAUCAAAUUACAUCAAACAUAAACUAAACUAAGUUCAAAAUGAACUAGAUUACAAAAGCAUAGUUAAACGGUAACAAAAUGUAAUUGAGACUGAAAAGAAGCAUCAACCCCUUGAGUUGCAUGUAUUUUACCCGGGUAACUUGUGUGUAUGAAUUCUUGCACAUACUUUACCCGGAUAACAUAAGUGCAUUAAUUUUCACGUGCGCUUGAAUCUGCAUGGGCUGUAUGGGAACUAACUUCAACAGUUUGAAGGCAAUGAUGCAUUUAACAAAUGACGAUAAAGCUAAGCUGGUUUACAUUGGGGAGGACUAUCAUCAAGACUCUGUGACAAUUGUUAACAAAGGGAUUGAAAUGUUCUACCAAAAGGUCUUGACAAUUCUUACUUGUCUUGACCUUUCCAACAAUAGUUUCCAUGGGAGAAUACCAGAAGAGAUACAAAUGCUGAGGUCGCUCAGAGUGAUGAACUUAUCCAAUAAUGGCUUCUCUGGUGAAAUCUCAUUAGCACUUCAAAAUCUAAAAGACCUUGAAUCUUUGGAUCUCUCAAGAAACAAGCUGUCAGGGAAGAUUCCUCUACAACUUAUAAGUCUAACUUUCCUGGCAGCAUUGAACUUGUCAUACAACCAACUUGAAUGAAGCAUACCACAAAGCAACCAAUUCAUUACAUUUACAAAUGAUUCCUACCGUGGGAACCCAAAAUUGUGUGGGCUGCCUCUGUCAAGGAAAUACAAUGAAGUUGAUCUUCGAAUGCCACCACCUCCAGGGGAAGAUGAAGAUUCAUGGUUAUAUGCUAUGUCUACUUGGAAAAUUGCGUUGAUAGGUUAUGCUAAUGGAUUGGUUGUUGGGCUAUUUAUUGGAUAUACAGUGCUGAAUGAGUUGGGAAACAAAUGGGUUGAGAAGUUCAGAAAGUGAGGGAAAAGAAAUAGAAGAAGAUGUAGGUGACUCCCUCAGAAUUCUUGUUUCAAAAUUAGCUUGUAAGCAUUAGUCUUUCUAAUUUGAAAAGAUAGUUGUUGAAAAAUAAUUUUUCUAUCAUAUCGUACUUGUAGCAUUGAAAUUCAUUUUCCAGAUUCUAUUGUAAUUUUAUGUAUCAUUUUGCAAUGCAGGACAUGGAAUGUCUAGUCAGGAGGAAUGUCGAGUCAGGAGGUACGUUAUCUUGGAAGAAAAUGGCAAUUAGUUUCUUAUGGCUGCAAGUAUUUUUCAAUCACGUGUUAGGCUUUAGGUCCGGGUGUAAAGGGUGGACCUGUUGGUCCGGGUUUUAGUGCAGCCUGACACUUGUUUUUAUAUUAGUCUAUUUAUCCUUUCAAUGAUAGUCUUAUUACGUUACAAAUUACCAUUCAAUUAAACUUUGUAUGUAAUAAUAUGAUAAUAAUAAUUAAAAUAUAAUGAAAGAAAUUAUGUGUUACAAUCUAGUAUGUUUUCCAAUGUUAGCCAAAGGCCAACACUAUCUCACACUAUUAUUACAAUGUACACAUACUUUUUAUGGAAAUUUAUCCAAUGAAACAGAGCACUAAACUAGUUUCCCAAAUGCAGGGAAGAAUUGGUAUGCCACAAUACUAUGAAAAUGAUUAAGAAAAAAAUACUAAUAACAAAAAAAAAUGGUAAUGGAAUCACAGUAAUUGAAAUGAUGAAGAAGGGUGUUUACCUGGAUUAUCAGCGACGAAUCUGAUGGUUGCCCAUCCAUUCAAAGGCACUCCAACAGUGUUCCUCACAGGUGGAUCAACAAGGUUGAAUUUAGAAGUAUCCUUUUUAGGAUCGAAGUUCCCGAAACCUUGUGCAAUGAUAUAGAAAUCGUAUAGAAGCUGAAUUGGAUGAUUCUCAGAUGUCACUAUGCUUGUGUCUUGGAGCACAAUUUUGUACCCAAAAAAUGUUGGUAUGGGUUAGAGGUGACUGAGAUGUUGAUGCUGAUGUGGUUGGUGGUGGCAAUGAUGAAGGUGAGUGAAGAAUGGUUAGUGAUGGAGGAUGCCUCCAUAGAGAUGGGAGCCGAAAGUGUUAAAAGAAAAAUGGUGGAAAAAAAGCCCCCGGUUAGAAGCUUUGCUAGAAUUAAAAUUGAAUUAAAUUGAAUUUACCACAAAAUGUUGAUUUGUAUCCCGAUGAAAUUUGGUGUCUACUUAAAAAUAGAUUAAAAUACAAUGAAAUAAAUGAUGCCUUACAAUUUGGUGUGCUUUGUAGUGUUAGUAAAUAAUCCAAAACACUAGAAAAUUGGAACUAACUUUAGAUUUAAAAAAGAAAAAAAAAUCCAUAUUUUAGAUUUAAAAAAUUAUUUGUUGUUUAAUCUCAUGGUGGUGGAAUUUGUUUGAUAAACUUUGAAAAAUGAAACUUUUGAAAUUGGAGUUAAAAUUUUCAAAUAGGGAUAAAUCUCGUUAAUCUCAUUUGUCUUUGAGAAUUUCAAAUAGGGAUAAAUUUCAAAAUUAUAUAUAAACUUUGAUUUAAUGUGAAAUUGUAUAUAUAAACUUUAGUUUGGUGUAAUUAUACACGUGGAACGAUAAUUGUGGUUCAAAUGAUACUUUAAACUUUAAUUUUGAUUUAAUCAUACACAUUUAAUGAAAUAAAUAUAUCAAUUUAUUUUUAUAUUGGAUAAAUAUAAUUAUUUAUGUAUACAAUAUAUAAACAUAAAAUAAUAUUAUAUCAAUAAUUGUGUUAAUAAAUUAUAAAAACUGGAUCAAAUCAAAAUUUUAUGUAUAACAUUAUACAAAAUCAAAAUUCAUAUAUACAAUUACACAUUAAACAAUAAUUUAUAUAUAAUUUUAAGAUUUAUCCCUUUAAAUUAAAUUUAAGGAAGUCACAAUUUAAAUAUGUUGAAAAGAAAUUGUUAAGAAGAGAAGAAUUGUAUCAUCAAAAUUUCCGCUAGUCAUGUCCAUCAAUCCAUCUCAACUACCUAAGAAAUUUGCUAAACAUUGUUUUAAUGCUGUAGUGAAGGGGCAAAAAGAUUUAGACAUUAUUUGCAUGGAAUGCCAAAGGUUAAGACUAGGUCUAGUAAUAUUAAAAAUAUCUCAUAGUAUCAUUCUUUUUAGUCAGUCCAAAAUUAAAAAUAUUAAAUUUUUUGUGUUUCACUUGGUUUGAUAAACUUUGAAAAAAAAUGAAAUUGGAAUUGAAUUUUUCAAAAAAUUGAAAAAUUGUUAAAUAGUAUAAUUUUAAUUAAAUUUAAAAGAAUUUAAGUAUAAAAAUUUAAAUAUGUUUAUUUCAAAGAAAUUGUUAAGAAGAAAACAAUUUUAUACAUUCUAUUAUCAAAAUUUCCACAACUUAUGCCCCAUCAGUCCAUCUCAGCUACCUAAGAAACUUGAUAGACAUUGUUUUCAUGUAAAAAGAUUUAGACAUUUGCAUGCAAUGCCAAUUAGGUUAAGACUAAGUCUAAUAAUAUCUCAUACUGUGUCAUUUUCUUAGUCAGUCCAAAAUUAAAAUUAUUAAAAAUUUUAAUUAAAACAUUAAUGAUAGUUUGAAGACUUAAUUGGAAAAGUUUAAAGUUUAGAUAUUAAUUUAUAUUUGAUUCAUAGUUUGGGGCAAAUGGACUGGAACAUUGGAAUAUUAUUCAGAUGGAGCAAAAUGGAAUUGGAAUUCUUUUGAAAAAAAAAUGGAAUUGGAUCUAAAAUUUUAAAAAAAGUUGUUAAUAGUAUAACACAUCUUGUCUAAUCCUUCAAUGAAUAGUCUCCAUUUCAUUAAUGCUUUAUUUUUGUGUUUAUAAUGACUUGACUUAAACAAAGUGGUAAACCAUUGUUUUCAUAUAGCAAGGAUCUGGCAAAAAGACUUACACACAUUGCAUGCAAUGCCAAAUAUUAAAUUUAGAAUUGAGCCCAUAAUUUGAGGUGUUUGAUUUAAUUAAAUCAAUUGGUAGUGUCGAAACUAUUUUUUUUAAAAAAAACGGAGUCGACUUAGAUUUAGAAAAUGAAAACGAACAGAAGAGUCGCCACCAAUUUGUUUUAUGAGAUGUGAUCGGGUCACCUCGUGUAGCGACGUGAAAAUUUAGCUUAGCUUGGUCGCUAAUUGUGGCGAUUUAUUGAAAAAAGUUUGAAAUUUGACGUUUGAUUUUUGAAAUAAACAGGGAGUCGCCACAGAUCCUUUUUCCUAGGUGUGAUCGGACACCUAUUAGAUCUCUUAUUAAAACAAAUAAAAGGCUGAGUUUAGGUCUACAUUAAAAUCCAGAGAAAAAUUAGGGUUCGGGAGUCGGUUACGCGCGAGGAAGGUAUUAGCACCCUCGCGACGCCCAAAAUUGGUAUCUUAUAAACAAGUGUUGUCUUAAUUUUCAAAAUUGCAAGUUCAAAGUAACAUUGAAUCGUGAUCCAAUCAAAACACGAGAAAUUUCAAGUUUCGUUUUCUUUUGAGAAGGAUAUACCGUUUUAACACGAGUCGAUUGAUAUUCACCCAACAUAGCGAUGAAAUCGAUGACAUAGUGUUAAUAUUUUUUCUCUUUCACACGCUUCCGUGCAACAAUUUUUGACCAAAGGUCCAUCGAUUCAGCUGAAUUUUAUAUAUGUUGGCCUUGCUAUUGCGGGUAAAAAGGUAGUUAAUGGUUGAAGCAUAUGCAAAGCCUGUUAUAGUCCAUGGAGCACUGAUUGUGGGCAACAAUGCAAAAUUAUUGACAUUAUCCUAAACUUUUAUAAAAUCAAAACUUAGCAGUGAAAUUCAAUACAAAACUUCAAAUUUCAAAACUUAGCAGCCUCUGAUCCUCUUAUGGCCCGGUGUCGUUGGAUUCAUGUUGUCUGGGAAAUUUUGAGACGGUGUAACAGAAACCGAUCUGGUUUUGGCUCUAACACCAAUGUUGAGGAAACAUGGUCAUCGUGUUGUUGGCGAAUUUAUUGAGUUUUAUGGUUAGGUGUAUGGUCAGAAAUCUUGACAAUCGAAUGCUUCACAAUCAAUAAUAUUGGUUUUAAUGUGCAUAUAGGAGAAGGUGUGACUAAAUUAUCAUUGGCUAAUCGAACACAAUUGCAGAUAUGGCUACUGAAUAUGGUGCAGCCAUGUGUUUCUUCCUUAUGGAUCAUAUAACCUAUUUGGUAGUUUAUAUCGGAAUCUGCUCUCUCAUGGGAUCUCUUACAGUUUGUUGAUUACUUUUAAGGCUUCUUCCUCUUUCUCUUUCUCUUCUUCUUCUUUUAUUUUAAUUUUAAUUUAUAUUAUAUUUAUUAUUCAAUUUUUUGAAGCUUUUCAUGUGACACACUUCAGGAUUGUUGUUCAAAUAGGGUCGGAAGCGUGUAAAUUAUUGUACUAAAAAAUCACACAAAGUUCAAUUCCCAGGGAAGAGAGGUGGAUCACAUGGAUCUCUUAAAUACCAAGUCUUUCCUUAGUCAGAAUAUCCCUUCUAUAGUAAUUUAAUAGCACAAUUAAAUACUACUAUUAUACCCUCCAAUAUUGAAAGAAAAAAAAAGGACAAGAAAGAACACAAGAGUUUUAACGAGGUUUGGUAAAUUAUACCUACGUCCUCAGGCACUCACACCAGAUGAUAACUUUAAUAUCUCCAAAAUAUUACAAACAAAUAGAAUUCUUUAAGAAUUCUCAAAUGGGAGAAGAGAGAAAACUAAGAGAGAAAGAUUGGUUGGGAUGAAUUGAAAUGAGAAAUGAGAAGGCCUAUUUAUAGUUGAGGUUCAAGGACCAAACAAUAAAUAGCCCUUAUCUCAAUGACAAAAAAAAAUUAUCCCAUUCCACUUUUUCAAAGUCAACUUUAGGGUGCUAAACUUGCACCACUUGGAUUGUUUGCCAUUAAAAUUGUCUGCCAUUAAUCAUUAAUGUUAACAAUCUCCACCUUGAAGAUUUGAUUAGGAUAAUCACAUCUUCACACACUUCCUUUAACUCCCCAAAUUCGAUAAAGCUAUCUUCUGUAGUGCCUCCAAAUGCGCUCUCGAGCGCCAUACACCUGAAGGUGCUCAAAUUCUCAGGAUGUUAAUCAAGUUCAAACAAUGAUUAAACUUGAUUGUUGUUACCACCUUGGUCAUCAUAUCUGCGGGAUUAUCUGCUGUCGGAAUCUUCUAAAGUAGGAUUUUUCCUUUUUCAAAGACUUCCUACACAAAGUGAUAUCUUACGUCGAUAUGCUUGGUUCUUGAAUGAUAGAAUUGAUUUUUCGCUAAAUGAAUAGCGCUCUGACUGUCACAAUAUAGACUAAUGUGACUUUGAACAACUCUCAAGUCUUUCAACAAUCCAUUAAGCCAAAUAGCCUCCUUAACAGCUUCUGUAACUGCCAUAUAUUCUGCCUCUGUAGUAGACACAGCUACUGUAGCCUGUAAGGUAGACUUCCAACUCACUGGGGCUUUAGCAAGAGUAAACAGAUACCCCGUAGUUGAACGACGUUUAUCUAAAUCCCCAGCAAAGUCGGAAUCAACAUAUCUAACUACAAAUUGACCAAGUGUUUCAUCCUUCUCAAAAACUAAACCAAUGUCUACGGUUUUUCAAAGAUAUCGUAGAAUCCAUUUCACAGCUUGCCAAUAUCCUUUUCCAGGAUCAUGCAUAUACCUGCUCACAACUCCAACAGCUUGUGAAAUGUCAGGCCGCGUACACACCAUCGCAUACAUCAAACUCCCAACUACAUUAGCAUAUGGGACUUUUGCCAUAUAUUCUCUUUCUUCUUCAGUUUUCGAAGAUAAUUGAGCACUAAGUUUCAAAUGAGAAGCAAGUGGGGUACUUACAUGUUUUAUGUUUUCAUUUACACCAAAACAUUGUAAUACAUUUUUCAGAUAUUGCUUCUGAUUCAAACAAAGCUUGCCUCUCUGUCUAUCUCUACUUAUUCCAUGCCGAGAAUCUUCUUGGUCUCACCUAGAUCUUUCAUCUUGAACUCUUGAUUCAACUGAGCCUUCAGCUUGUCUAUCUCCUUUUGGCUCUUCGAAGCGAUUAACAUGUCAUCAACAUAUAAGAGUAGAUAAAUGAAAGAUCCGUCAUGCAGCUUCUACAAAUACACACAAUUGUCAUAUUUACUUCUUGUGUACUUCUGCCUUCUCAUAAAGUUAUCAAAUCGCUUGUAUCACUACCUCGGGGAUUGCUUCAAUCUAUAUAGCGAUUUGUUCAGCUUACAAACCCAAUUUCUACCACCAACAUCUGUGUAUCCUUCAGGCUGAGUCAUAUAGAUCUCCUCUUCUAACUCACCAUGCAAGAAAGUCGUCUUAACAUCAAGUUGAGCUAGCUCCAAAUUCAACUGUGCUACCAAGGCCAACAAAAUUCUAAUGGAGGAAUGCUUCACAACAGGGGAAAAUACAUCAUUGUAGUUAAUUCCCUCCUUCUGAGCGUAGCCUCUAGCUACCAAUCUUGCCUUGUAGCUAACAUUUUUCUUGCUAGGAGAUCCAUCUUUCUUUGCGAACACCCACUUGCAUCCAAUUGCCCUUUUACCUUUCGGUAAUUGCGCCAACUCCCAAGUAUUGUUCUUCUGGAGAGACUGCAUUUCUUCAUCCAUGGCGCUUUUCCAUUUGUCACUUUCUAAGCUUUGCAUUACUUCUUGAUAAGUGACAGGAAUAUCAUCAUCAACAAUGGGAAGGGCGUAGGCUACCAUAUCAGUUAAUCGAGCAGGUCUACGAAUUUCUCUCCGUGGCCUUGCAACUGCAACUGGUUCUGGUGUACUUAAUGGUUCUUGGGUUAGAACCUCUUCAACCUCUAAUUCCUCCAUUGUGGCUGGAGAAUUAGACUUAUUAACUGGGCAAAUCCCCAUCUGCUCAAACUCCACCUGUUUUGGAGUACACUCCACCUGCUGUGGAGUAUCGCUCGUCUGAAUAUCUUUAUCUGCUACCUUUUUAAAUGUGGCAGAUUCAUCAAAUGUAACAUCUCUGCUACAGAUUAUUUUCUUUGUGCCUAAGCACCAAAGACGAAAUCCCUUCACUCCAGAAGUGAUUCCCAUAAAUAGAGCUUUUUUUGCCCUCGGAUCUAACUUUGACUCCUUCACAUGGUAAUAUGCAGUGGAUCCAAACACAUGUAAGGAAUCAUAAUCUGUAGCCAGUUUUUCAGACCAUACCUCCAAAGGAGUUUUUCUUUCUAAUGCAGAUGAUGGCAAAUGAUUAACAAGAUGGCCAGCGUAUGUCACAGCCUCAGCCCAAAAUUGCUUGCCCAGCCCAGCAUUGGACAACAUACAUCGAACUUUCUCCAGCAAUGUUCGAUUCAUACGCUCUGCCACUCCAUUCUGCUGUGGUGUAUCCCUAACUGUGAAGUGUCAAACAAUACCAUACCCUUGGCACACAUCGAAGAACGGAUCACUUUUAUAUUCCCCUCCAUUGUCCGUCCUAAGCAGCUUAAUUUUCUUGCCAGUCUGGUUUUCGAUCAUAGUUUUCCAUUUAAGAAAAACUCCAAGCACUUCAUCCUUAGUUCUCAUGGUAUACACCCAAACUCUUCUGGAAAAGUCAUCAACAAAAGUAACAAUAUAGUGUCUUCCUCCCAACGAAGGUGUUUUGGAAGGCCCCCACACAUCUGAGUGAACAUAUUCCAAAAUACCUUUUGUAUUAUAGAUAGCAGUGCUGAAUUUCACCCUCUUUUGCUUUCCCAGAACACAAUGCUCGCAAAAUUUUAAUUUGCAAGCCUUUGCACCUUUCAACAAUCCUUGCUUUGCCAGAAUUUGCAAGGAUUUUUCAUUGGCAUGUCCCAACUUCAUAUGCCACAUGCCAACCGAUUGAUCGCCUUUCAAUCUUUCUCCUGUACAUCAUCUGGUUUCUCUUUAUCGAUGGCAAUGUCUAGGCCCUGCUGAAAAAGGGUAUCUAGAACCUCACUUUGCCACAUACCAAAAUGGCCCGUGCCAUCAAAGAUCUCCACGGCCAAUCUUGCAUUUACAAUUGUCGGUCUUGUCCACAUGGACGAUGUUGAAGCUCCUAAACCGUCCAUCUUCUCCAUAAUCUUUCAAUAUACCUAAGGAAAUCUUUUCUGAUGUGGAAGAUCAGUUUAAACUGCAACCACAGAGCAUACUACAAUUAACCUUCAGCUCUUGAUACCACUUGUUGUUCCAAUAGGGUCUGAAGCAUGUAAAUUAUUGUACUAAAAAAUCACACAAAGUUCAAUUCCCAGGGAAGAGAGGUGGAUCACAUGGUUCUCUUAAAUACCAAGUCUUUCCUUAGUCAGAAUAUCCCUUCUAUAGUAAUUUAAUAGCACAAUUAAAUACUACUAUUAUACCCUCCAAUAUUGAAAGAAAAAAAAAGGACAAGAAAGAACAUAAGAGUUUUAACGAGGUUCGGUAAAUUAUACCUACGUCCUCGGGCACUAACACCAGAUGAUAACUUUAAUAUCUCCAAAAUAUUACAAACAAAUAGAAUUCCUUAAGAAUUCUCAAAUGGGAGAUGAGAGAAAACUAAGAGAGAAAGAUUGGUUGGGAUAAAGUGAAAUGAGAAAUGAGAAGGCCUAUUUAUAGUUGAGGUUCAAUGACCAAACAAUAAAUAGCCCUUAUCUCAAUGACCAAAAAAAAAAUUAUCCCAUGCCACUUUUUCAAAGUUAACUUUAGGGUGCUAAACUUGCACCACUUGGAUUGUUUGCCAUUAAUCAUUAAUGUUAACAAGGAUAUCAUUAUGAGGACAUGAAUCUUCAAAGAUUCUUUAGAUGCAUGAAAAAUUUAGAAAAAAAAAUGAAUAUAUCUGUAUCGAAUACAUAUACAUAUUCAACUUGCAUUCUAAUACAUUUGUUUUAACAACCAACUUUUCGUUCUCAUAGGUAAUGGGUGUAAAAGCAGUAGGAAUCGCGCUGAAGCUGUCGUUUGGAGGAAUGAAUCAGUUUAAAUACUUCGAAAUAUGGAUUUUCACAAUAAUUGUGAUCUUUUGCUGUCUUCUGCAAAUAAAUUACUUGAACAAGGUGAGUGAUGAGACUUAGAUUUCAUUACCCUUUGUCAAUGAGCAUAAUUAUACAUUGGUUUAGUUUGUGUCACUCGAAUUUUGUUUGAAUGUUGAAUACAGGCAUAUUAGACAUGGAGGUUUUUAUUUUUUAACUGUUUUCCAUAUAUUUAAAGGAUUUUAUUCCCAUACACGAGUCUAUAUAUAUAUAUGUGUGACAUGCGUAUUUUAAUGAAACUGAAAGUUGAAAUAGAUAAAUUAAGUGCUUUACAAGUUUUGGCACUACUAGUAAUUUGGACAUCAACAUUGUAAGUUACUCAUAAUUAAGUUGCUUAUAGGAUACAAAAGCAUAAAUGUGUGUUUUUUUUUAAAUAAUUUCUUUCAAGCUUAUAUUCUUAAUUUAAUGUGAUGAUUGACUCUAAAUGUAUGUUAUUGUUGUUAUUCUUGAUGGUACUAAAAGCUUAAAAUUUUGCAGGCUUUAGACACCUGUAAUACUGCUGUUGUAUGUCCUGUUUACUAUGUCAUGUUCACAACAUUCACCAUUAUUGCCAGCAUUAUCAUGUUUAAGGUAAGGGUUUAUUUUUUAUUUUUUUUAUACAUCCUUAAUCCACUUAUAUGGGUAGGGAUUGUGAGUAAAUUGAGCUUUUAACCAACAAAAAUAUAUAUAUAUAUUUUACUUUUGAGUUUGACUAACCUUCUUAUGGAGAUGUGUUUGACUAUUUUCAUGAACAUCACAAACACAUUUAUUUAGUUUAUAUGAAUAAACGUGAACAUAAAUAGGCUAAAAAAUAAAUUAACGGAUCAAACUUGAUUCCUAUACAAUCCUACUUACAAAAAUCUUGUGUUUUUGUAUAUAAUAAUGUAUUUUUCUUUUUUGUUUUCCUAAAGGAUUGGAAUUCACAAGGUGGGACAGAGAUUACAACAGAAUUAUGUGGAUUUAUUACAAUUUUAGCAGGCACAUUCCUCCUUCACAAAACCAAAUAUAUGGGAAAAAGUUCCAGUGGUCGACUCCCUGUUUAUACAUCUCUUGAACCAAAUACAGUUUCCGAAUCUAGAUAGUUAGCCCUACAGGUUUGGAACUCGCAUUUGGAUUCUAAUCCUUAGCUUUCUUGCAUUUAGUAUAGUACAAGAAAGAUAAAAAAAAAAAAGAAGAAGAAGAAGAGAGAGAGAGAAAGACAAACAAAAGUAGAAUUAGGAGUUUUUUUUUUAUUUGAGGUUUAUGGACAUUUUCUAUGUGAAAAGUUGCAACUAAAAUGUUUAUGAAAUAGGUUUUUUAGUUUCCUUCUGCUUUUUUAUUUAUAAUUUUUUUCAUAAUAUGUUUGAGUUUGAUAUUUAAUCAUUAGAACUAAAAACCCAAUUCUCUACUAAUAAAUCAAACAAUUGUUAGUUUUUGGUGUUAUUUUUGAGGUCUUAUGUAUUUGACUUAUGUUUAUAGUGGUGACUGGUCAAACUUAUAGGGUAUAUAAAAAACAUUAUCAUUUAUAACUAUACAUAUAUGAUAUGUAUGUAUGUAUGUAUGUAUGUAUGUACAUAAUGUAUAGUCAGCUGAAGAAUUUGUUUUGAGUUUAUAGUGAGUUCAAAGUUUUUUAUUUUAUUAUAUUUUACAAAUCCUUAAACCAUAAAUUUACAUUUCAAUUAGAAUUUGAAUCUAAUAAUGUAUUAUAAAAAAUAAUUACAAAUACAAUGAUAGAAAUUAAAUAUAUUAAAAAUUUCAAAAUUCUACAUAUUGUGUCCAUCAAUCUAGCUAAGACUUGACUUGUACACAAUGGUUGAACGUUAUUUUUAUGCAGUAUUAAUUACUUGGACAUUUGCAUUCAAUGCCAAAGACUUAAUACUUAAUAUUUUGUACACUAUCAUUUUUUUCCAAAAUUAAAUAUAUUAAAAAUUUCAAUUUAAAUCAUUAUCAUUUAAAAUUCGAUGUAUAAUUUUGCAAUAUAAAGUGAUUUAAAUCUUUGAUAAAUUAUAGCAUAUUUAUAAAUUCAAUAUUCAUUAACAAAUUGAUUUUAUAUUAUAAGUUAAAUUAUUUUAAAUAAUUUUGAAAUUUUUGUUGAGAGAGAUCAAUUUAUUAAUUUUUAAAAUUGAAAGGGACUAAAAGAGUAUGUACAUCAAUUUGAUGUUUGAAUUAUUCGAGUUAUUUAGAUUAUAAUAUUCAACUCGGAACUCCAAUUGUAAAUAUUUUUAAUAAUAUAAAACAUAAAAAAUAUUAAAAUUAAAUAAUAAUAUAGAAAUGAAAAUAUUUCUCCAAAUUUCUCACCCAUAUACACUCUAAGAAAUCAAAACUGGAAGUGAAAAUUUCUAUAUCUUCUAUUAUCAAAAUUUCCACUCAUUGUGUUCAUCAAUCUCUAAUGUGACUUGACUCGUACACAAUGGUUGGACGUUGUUUUUGUGCAAUAAAAACUUAGAUAUUUGCAUGCAAUGCCAAAAACUUAAAGACUUAAAAGUCCUAUAAUAUUUUAAACUAUCAUUUUUUCUGGUCCAAAAUUAAAUGUAUUAAACAUUCCAAUUUAAAACUUACGAAUUUAAUUAGAACAUCGUGAAGUUCAGGGAUCAAUUUAAAAUUCGAUGUAUAGUUUUGAGAUAUAAGGUGAAUUAAUCCUUUGAUAAAUCAUAACAUAUUUACAAGUUCGAUAUUCAUUAACAAAUUGAUUUUAUAUUAUAAGUUAAAUUUUAUUUUUUUUGUACCAUAACAAAAUUUACUUAAAAAAAUUAAAUUGUAAUAUUUUUAUUUAAAAAAUUAAAUGAUGUAGAAAUAAUUAUAUAGAACAUAAAAAUUGAUAAAAUUUACCUGAGUUUAAAAUAAUUUAAAGUUCAAAUAUUUGUAACAUCCAUAUUAAAAUUUACUUUAUCAAUAAGAAAAAUGAGAUGAAUAAAAUAUUAAAAUCUCAUUCUUCAAAUUUAAAAUUAACAAAAAAGAAAAGCGUAAGGCAAAUUAAGUGUAAAUUUAACUACUUAUUUCUAAUACUAACAAUAAAUAAUUUAUGCUUUAUCACUAUCUGCUUUAAAUAAUAAUUAUUAUCCCUUGCUUUAAUUUGUUGGAAAAAAUUGACCAAAAAGACUUAACUAAAAUUGACCAAAAAGACUUGGAAAUUGCAUGCAAUGGCAAUCACUCGUAAACGUUGUUCUAUGGAAACUACACAUUUGUGUAUAAAUAAGUUGUAUGCCAAACACAAUCCUCCCUCACACCCACCCAACAUGAACACUCUUCAUUCGCUUAUUUCACUCUCUCUUCUCAUGCUUCCUUCCUCUUCUCUUGUCUUUUUUACUUCCUCAAACUCAUCUCCCAAUGCCAUGCCUUGAUGACCAGAGAUCUACUCUGCUGCUAUUGCAACAUCAUCUUUACUAUGCCCCUCAUUUUAAUUUCUCUUCCAAAUUUGAGCAUUGGGAUCCCAACACUCAUUGUUGCUCCUGGAAAGGGGUCACUUGUGAUGCUCUUGGUCAUGUCGUUGGCAUUGAUCUUAGUAACAAAAACCUUUCCGGUAGUUUUCACUCCAUUUUCCGUCUACGUCAUCUUCAACGCUUGAAUUUUGCUGGAAACAACUUUAAUACCACUUUGCUUUCUUAUGGGUUUCACAAACUCCAAAAUCUAACCCAUCUCAAUCUUUCAAGCUCACGUUUUGUUGGAAAUUGGCCAUCCAUGCUGCUGUUAUGUUUUUGUUGAGUGCAUACGGCUUGUAUGCAUGCUGCAUGCUGCAGCAACAUGUUGACUGUUGUAGCUGCAAUUUAGUUUAGUUUGGUUGAAAAUGAACUUAGUUAUUGAUGUUUUGAUAGGUUUAGGUGAUGAUUGAGCUGAUAAUUCAGCUUAUUGAUGUGUACAAGUAAUGCUUAGCAAGUCCCUAGGCUACUAAGUGGGAGUAGGUAGUAUUUGGUAAUGUGUUUUGUUUUUCUUAUUGAAAAAAUUGAGCAAAAUGAGCUGAAGCCAUAGCUCCCUUGCAGCACAUUUGUGAGCAAGUAAAAAUACUGCCUUGUUCUGUCCUGUAUUUCUUCCUCUGCUCUGCUCUUCCUUCAAAAAUCCCCAACAAUAGAUAAAAGCUUGAACUUCAAGCAUUUUUCCUUCAUACUUUACCCGGGUAUAAUACGUUGCUGUUAGAGCUCUGUUUGAAACUCUUACUUUACCCGGUGUAAGUGCACUCAAAAACCCAACACGUUUCCAUGGCCAAAUUCCAGUGGAGAUCUCAUACUUAACGAGGUUAGUCUCUCUUGAUCUAUCUAAUCAAGGUUCUUGUUAUCUGCGAUACUACACCAUUCUCGACCCAUAUUAUGGCCGGUACAACUAUUAUGAACUACAUCCUGAACUUGAACAACCACUUAAAUUAGAGAAACCAAACUUCAAGACAUUAAUCAAGAAUUUGAGGUUUCUCACAGAGCUUUAUUUGGAUGGUGUGGACAUUUCAACUCAAAGUGCUAAAUGGUGCGAAACCACAUCUCUUGUACUUUCCAACCUGCUUGUGUUGAGUUUGUCAAACUGUGGUAUGAAAGGUCCAUUAUGUUCUUCACUCUCAAGACUCUCUUUUCUUUCCAAACUUAUCCUUGAUGGGAACCCAAUCUCUUAUUUACCUCCCAAUUUCUUGGUAAAUUCCUCGCGUUUGGUUUCUCUCAGUUUAAUUGCUUGCAAUUUGAAUGGGCAUUUUCCAACCGGAAUUCACUUAUUGCCAAAAAUUCAAAGUAUUGACAUUUCAGGCAAUGACCAACUUAUGGGUCAGUUGCCAGAAUUUCCAGCAAACAAUGCUUUACAGAGUUUGUUGCUUUAUUUUACAAAUUUCAGUGGAAAACUACCUGAAUCGAUUGGUAAUAUUAAGUUCUUGACAGAUUUAGAUCUUUAUGGUUGCAAUUUUUUUGGACCCAUUCUCGUCAAUUGCAAAUCUUAGUCACCUGGUCAACCUAGAGCUAGGAGGGAACAUGCUUUCUGGAUCAAUACAUUCUUCUUUAUUCACUCUUCCAUCAUUAAAGACCUUGUAUCUUGGAGAAAAUCAAUUGGUUGGGAAAAUCAAUGACUUCCCUAAUGCAUCUUCUUCUUUUAUUGAAGAAUUAUAUAUAGGCAAUAAUUAUUUAACAGGACCAAUCCCAAAGUCAGUCCUUCAACUUCCAUGGCUUGAAUGGCUUUAUAUUGAAGGAAAUAGCUUUAGUUUUAUGAAGCUUGACACGUCUGUCCGACUGAAUAACUUGAGGGAUCUGACGUUGUUCAACACAAUCUUGUUAAUUGAAAGCGACAACAGAAGUCUUACUUUUCCCCAAUUAGAGAGACUAAGCUUAAGGUUGUGCAACCUUACUGAAUUUCCAGAAUUCAUUAAAAGACAAGACAAGUUGGUUGAGUUAGAUCUUUCUAACAACCAUAUCCAUGGUUUUGUGCCCAAUUGGUUGUGGAAGAGCAAUCUUUCAUGGGCAGACCUUUCUUUCUAUAUGAUUGAUUUUCCAAAACAGCUUCUCUUAAAUGAUGCAAACACAUUUCCAAUGUUGACAGAAUUGAAUUUGAGAUCAUGUAACAUAAGUGCGUUUCCAGAUUUCAUCAAAAUACAAGACAAGUUGGUUGACUUAGAUCUUUCUAACAAUCAUAUCCAUGGUGUUGUGCCUAAUUGGUUGUGGAAGAGCAACCUUUCAAGGGUAAACCUUUCUUUCAAUGUGAUAUUGAUUUUCCAAAACAGCUUCCCUUAAGUGAUUUAAACUUCUCUUUUUCAUUGUUGAGGAAAUUGUAUCUGGAAUCUUGUAACAUAAGCUCAUUUCCAGAGUUCUUAAAGAGUCAAGAAAAUUUAGAAUAUCUCAAACUUUCAAAUAAUAAAAUAAGUGGUGCAAUACCAAACUGGGUGUGGAAGAAAAGUUUGCGGUAUCUGCUUCUUGCUAAUAACCAUCUCUCAUCUUUGGAUCAACUUUUACCCAAUCAGAGUUCAACUUCUUCACAGGACUCCUUGUAUUUCGUCGCAUCUUAUAACAAUUUGAGUGGCCCAAUUCCAAAUUGGUUAUGCAAUAUGAGUCAACUUUACAGUUUUGAUGCAUCUUAUAACAAUUUCAAUGGCCCAAUUCCAAAUUGCUUGGGCAAUAUGAGUGCUCUGAGUUGGUUGGGUUUGCAAAGAAAUAACUUCAGUGGAAUGUUACCAAAAUUUUCAAAAGCAACCCAACUGCAGUUUCUCAAAGUUAGUGAGAAUAGAUUGGUAGGGAAGUUGCCCAGAUCAUUAGCAAAAUGCACUCAACUUAUGGUUUUGGAUGUAGGAAGCAACAUGAUCAAUGAUACAUUCCCUUUUUGGUUGGAGAAAUUGACUUACUUGAUGGUUCUAAUAUUGCGAGAAAACAGAUUUUAUGGUCAAAUUAAACAUUUGAAACAUAAAUCUGUUUUCCCAACUUUGGAUGCAUUGGACAUUGCUUCAAACCAGUUUUCUGGUGAACUAUCCAUUGAUUUCCUUCAUGCCACUCAACUAAGGUCACUCAAAAUAGGUGGGAAUAAAUUGGAAGGGAAGUUGUCGAGAUCAUUAGCCAAUUGCACAGCACUUGAGGUUAUCUAGACCUUGGAAAUAAUAUGGUUCAUGAUACAUUCCCAUUUUGGUUAGAGAAGCUGCCUUCCUUGAAGGUUCUCGUUUUGCGAGCAAACAGAUUCUACGGCACAAUUUCAAAAAUCGACACGGAACAUGGGUUUC
This 21744-nucleotide long non-coding RNA is filed under the name Gossypium barbadense (sea-island cotton). Its description in RNAcentral is "long non-coding RNA (GBAR_LNC001076)". The record is from RNAcentral. Lineage: Eukaryota; Viridiplantae; Streptophyta; Magnoliopsida; Malvales; Malvaceae.